This is a non-coding RNA of Phalacrocorax carbo (great cormorant), 2851 nucleotides long. NCBI's taxonomy places the organism in Eukaryota, Metazoa, Chordata, Aves, Suliformes, Phalacrocoracidae. The record is from RefSeq and is a predicted model, not a curated record.
CAAACCAUUUAUGCAAAGGGUUAGUCUGAAGCCAGUGGAAGGGCAGGAACUAACCAUUUUAGAAAUACCUUUGUUAACAUUUGACUGUUGUAGAAUGAAUUUUGGACAUUGUCUUCUCCUGAACAAACACCCAUUAUUUGUUCUUCACUUCAAAAUAUCCUGCAGUAAAUCUCAGUCUAUGUUGUUCAUAUCAAUAGAGAAGACAAAAUGAAAGAGAGAGGUUAUGAUGUCAGUAUUCACCACUGGGUUUCCUGACGCUCCCUCCCUCUGCCAGAAACAAACUCUCCCAGAUGAUGACCAUACCAGCAAGCCACCAGCACGCUCCCAGUUCACAGCGUACUUCUUGAAAGGAUAUCCAAAGAAAUGCCUAUCUUAAUGUCGGUGACUUUAAGUGAAAAAGACUGUCUCAGGCAUGACUGGGAAAUUACUUCCCAUUCUUGUGUGGCCCAUUUUGUCUGAAAGAUUGACAUUUUUUUCUUAAAAGGGCCAAACUAGGCAUGUAACCACUGGUAGGUAGGGGAUGGAACAAACCGUGCGGGGCAUCUUGCCUGUGUAAGAUGGCUAGCACAGAUAGAGAGACAGAGUAUUCCGGUCUCUGAAGUGGUAACUGACAUACAUAGAGAGACAAAUUUUUCUUUAGCGUCUUCCACUGUCAUCAAUAAGAAAUUUGAGGUCAUCAGAAAAAACAAUGUUAUGCAUCCAGAUUGCCAAAAAAUAUUUCUUUCUAUGGAUAUAAAAAUAAAAGCAAUUAUCUGAGGAAUUUUACAUACAGAAAGAACUGUGCAGAGGUGGACUCUAACCAAAAGUGGCAUGCAGAGGAGAUUAAAACAGUCUAAAUAACUAAAAUCUUGUUUUUAUUAAAAGCAUCUUCUUCUGAAAACCAAAAUAUUUGACCAAAACAGAGUAUCAUCAGGCAUAAGAAAUGAAACCAAUUUUAAAAUGGAAAAUUCCAGUGAAAUAUUUCCAUUAGCUCUGUGCUGUGUGUACAAUUGUGUUCCCAGGUAGAGGGGCUAGUAAUGAAGAUUACAAACAGAAGAACAUGCUGAAUGGGAGGCACUGAGUCAGUCUGUGAGACCCGGUCUCAUUUGUAACUGUUGAUCCAUUUACUUCACACAUGGACACCACCCCUCACCAAUGCCCAGGGUCCUAUCACGCUUCUGAUUAACUUGGACUCUGGUUUCAUACUUCCCCUACGAUAACAGCAUUAUAAUAAAGCCCAGGGAUUACGUUUUUAGCACAAGGCUCACUGUUGAGCUGCCUGGAAGACGGAAUUGUGACAAGUAGUGCAGGAAGCUUCAGUGAAAGAUGAGACACUCUACCUGAGAAUAAAAGCAAGGCCAGAAGUUACAGCUCCAAGGAGGAAAUUCAAUGGGCCACAAAACAUUAUAUUUGAGGGUGUUAAAUUGAUUGCUAAGUAGGUUAAGAGAGAAAUUCCACUCUCCCAUUCAGCACGGCAGAGGUGGAAGAUUGAAGCAGCUGCCUAACAAAGACGGUGCUUUCCUCUGAAGCCUCCGGCACUGCCUGUGAGAAAGACAGGGGGAGGCUCACUGCAGUGUUCAGUGCCAUUUCUGAAGCCCAGAGAAAACCUGUCUGCUUCUUUAGGGUGUGCAAGUUUGGGUCACAUCCACCAGCCCCAUGCAGAUGUCUCAGAUGAUCCACUGAACACCACUGGACCCUGAUGUUCAGGCACCUGGAGUGAGCCCCAGAGCUCCAUUGAUUAAAAUGGGAGAUCAGACACCUAAAUUUAGAUGCAGAUGUCAUUGCCUAGAGCUGAACCUGGACCCUGUAAUGUGUUAUCAGUGGCUGAGUGUUAAAUGCUCUGUAAUUAAAGGAUAUAUGCUGGUAACAUAGUAAGUCCCUGCAAACCAGAGUGCAGGAUCUCAAAUGUCCUCAAAUUUUUAUGAAGAAGAACAGUAAAUAUGUGGUCUGGAAAUGAGGUUCUGGAAAAAGGAAUGACAGUGCAGCUAAAUAUAUCCUUUGAAUCUUAUCCUGUGAAUCUCAAAAGACCUGAGUCAGCAAUCUUUUCUCAGUCAGAAUUCCCACUGCUGUGCAUGGGAUGAUGGGCUGUGGCUGUAAGUACUGUUGUGGGCAGAGUGGGAAGGAGGAGAGGUGAGCUCUUCCCAUAGGCAUGGAGCAAACCCAGUGAGCAUGAUGCUUCAUCUAUGCAAUGCACCGGGCCUUCGUGCUCCCUCUGGUCAAGGGGAAUCUGCUCUCACCUCCCUGUGCUGCAGAGCUGGCUCUUUUCUGCCUCCUCUUUGCCAUUUACUGGAGCACAAGCAAUUGGAUUACAUUAACCUCUGUGCUCAUGCAAGGGAGGAGAAAAGACUCUUGUUUCUCUUCUUCCCUGCUGCACAGGUCCAAUGACAUCCUUGCCCCAGGGUGCUGGCCUGGCUUGAUUAAACCCUGAAUAAGCACAGCCAGAUUUGACUCAAAGCUUUUACUACUUAAAACAAUUUUCUGGAAAGGGUUAAUAAGCAGUUUGAAAACCCUGUAUCAAAGACAUAUGGCUAUACGCCUGGAAUAAUGCAGAAUGUUUUAUUUUCAGGUGGGUUUGCUCCAUUCUGUUUAAAUUCUGUGACCUUCAGGGAAUCAAGUUAGUUCUAGCUUUUAGUUCAUAGAUUUUGUGUUUGGCAUUCAAGGUUAACUUAUUGCUUGAUUAGACACAGGCAAAUGCUAGCAGCUGCAGUACCACAGUGGAAAUUAAAUCCUGUACUGUAUUUGGUCAGAAAUGUCAAGAACCUGGUAGUUAACUACAAAGAACUCAUUUUGUCUUCCAUUAGCAACAUUAGGGUAAGUUAGAUACUGUUUUGUUUUCAUGUUGCAAAACAUAAAAAUGUUAUAAUGUGGGACA